This is a non-coding RNA of Seminavis robusta, 66 nucleotides long. The record is from the annotation of a GenBank genome assembly. NCBI's taxonomy places the organism in Eukaryota, Bacillariophyta, Bacillariophyceae, Naviculales, Naviculaceae.
CCAUUGGUAGCUCAAUGGCAGAGUGUCAGAUUGUAGUUCUGCAAGUUGUUGGUUCAACCCAAUGGA